CCUACGGGAGGCAGCAGUGAGGAAUAUUGGUCAAUGGGCGGAAGCCUGAACCAGCCAAGUAGCGUGCGGGAUGAAGGCCCUACGGGUCGUAAACCGCUUUUGCACGGGGAUAACAACCGCCACUUGUGGAGGUCUGCAGGUACCGUGCGAAUAAGGGCCGGCUAACUCCGUGCCAGCAGCCGCGGUAAUACGGAGGAUGCGAGCGUUAUCCGGAUUUAUUGGGUUUAAAGGGUGCGUAGGUGGUUAAUUAAGUCAGCGGUGAAAGUCUGUGGCUCAACCAUGACAUUGCCGUUGAAACUGGUUGACUUGAGUUUAUUUGAGGUAGGCGGAAUGCGUGGUGUAGCGGUGAAAUGCAUAGAUAUCACGCAGAACUCCGAUUGCGAAGGCAGCAUACUAAACUAUAACUGACACUGAAGCACGAAAGCGUGGGGAUCAAACAGGAUUAGAUACCCCUGUAGUC
RNAcentral lists this ribosomal RNA (460 nucleotides) under uncultured bacterium. Its description in RNAcentral is "partial 16S ribosomal RNA". It matches the Rfam family "Bacterial small subunit ribosomal RNA", at positions 338 to 795 of the family's 1533-position model. The record is from RNAcentral.